RNAcentral lists this long non-coding RNA (1123 nucleotides) under Anas platyrhynchos platyrhynchos (common mallard). Its description in RNAcentral is "lncRNA (ENSAPLG00000016879.1)". The record is from RNAcentral. Lineage: Eukaryota; Metazoa; Chordata; Aves; Anseriformes; Anatidae.
AGCUGUGUAAUGUUUCAUCUUUUUGCUUUGAUUGGCACUUUUUUAAUUGUUAACACUCUUUUCAAACUGGCAACACAUUGCCUCAUUCUAAUCUGCAGUGAGCCCAACUGUAUUACAAGCACUCUCGGGAACAACACACCACCAAGACAUUUUGUAGACACGGUUGAUCCAGGCAGAAGAAAUCUCAGGUUGUGGUGACUAAACAUAUCCUGGAACUACUUGUAUGUAAAAGUUUCCACCUCCCUCCUGAGGGAUCCAUAUAAUUUUUCUGGAUGAUGUUGCUGAAGUGACCAGAUCAUUUGCUAUUUCUCAUUUAUUUAUACAGGCUUCUAUGUCAGGAUGCUUCAUCUGCAGAACAUCAAGAAAGGGAAAAGCUCUCUCUUAGAUCAUGAAAAGUUUAACAGCCAGUGCCACAGAUGACUUCUUCUGGAGUUCUGCAAAAGGGAUACAGACAGCCAGGUGACAGAACAAGAGCUGUGCUGCAAUGAUUGGGGAGGAUAAAAUGAAAAGAGGACUGUAAGAAUGUGUCCAAAUUCCUCUAUGAAAAGACAUCUCAGCAAAGGAGAUGAUCUCUGCUUGAUCACAGAUCUUGUUUUUCCAGUACUGGGACUGGGAGGUUGCUGACUUCCUAGAGAAGUUUAGGAGUGCAGUCAGCUUUCUCUGAAUGGUCAUGGGAGAGUCAGUGGACACUUCUGAAAUCCAGGGCAAUUUGAAAUAGAAAGGUCUUUCAGUUGCUUGACAAAUGUUAUGAGAGUCCAGAGGGUUAGACAAUAUGUCAGGUGGGAAGCACUGUUAGUUCCAAACAGUUUUACAAGAAAUCUAAACCAUAAAAAUCCAAAUUCUGUGCAUAAGUAAUACUAUACAAUUGAGUCUAGUAAGCAUUUAUAGCACUUUGUGCCUCAGGCGUCUUGUGAACUAAAAAAGAUCAAAGGCUGAGUGCCCUCAGCACUCAGUCAGACCCUCAAGAAGGGGUCCAAUAUCCCUCCUAGUUGAUGGCUGCCUCACAGGAAACACUGAACAGCUUGAAGAAUAGGGCCCCAAAUGCAUAUUUGGCACCCAGUUAAAUUCUAGAGUAAGUAUUUAGUAUUUUUUUAAUCAGCAUUUGCUAUGUCCCAGAAUAAAC